GACGAACGCUGGCGGCGUGCCUAAUACAUGCAAGUCGAGCGAUGAAGCUUGGUGCUUGCACCACUUUGAAGAGCAGCGAACGGGUGAGUAACGCGUGGGGAAUCUGCCUAUGAGCGUGGGACAACAUUUGGAAACGAAUGCUAAUACCGCAUAAUAACUUUAAACAUAAGUUUUAAGUUUGAAAGAUGCAAUUGCAUCACUCAAAGAUUAUCCCGCGUUGUAUUAGCUAGUUUGUGAGGUAAAGGCUCACCAAGGCGAUGAUACAUAGCCGGACUGAAAGGGGGAUCGGCCCAAUCGGGACUGAGACACGGCCCAAACUCCUACGGGGGGCAGCAGGAGGGAAUUUUUGGCAAUGGACGAAAGUCUGACCGGGGAACGGCGGGGGAGUGAAGGAGGGUUUCGGAUCGGAAAACUCUGUUGGUAGAGAAGAACGUUAGUGAGAGUGGAAAGCGCAUCAAGUGACGGUAACUACCCAGAAAGGGACGGCUAACUACGUG
Molecule: ribosomal RNA, 497 nt
Filed under: uncultured bacterium
Lineage: Bacteria
Description: partial 16S ribosomal RNA
Rfam family: Bacterial small subunit ribosomal RNA
Source: RNAcentral